Molecule: transfer RNA, 73 nt
Filed under: Rhodococcus phage Trina
Lineage: Duplodnaviria; Heunggongvirae; Uroviricota; Caudoviricetes
Description: tRNA-Ile
Rfam family: tRNA
About the family: Transfer RNA (tRNA) molecules are approximately 80 nucleotides in length. Their secondary structure includes four short double-helical elements and three loops (D, anti-codon, and T loops).
Source: RNAcentral
GCCCCUAUCGUAUACGGGUUAAUAUAGUUCUCUGAUAAGGAACAGCAGAUGGUUCGACUCCAUCUAGGGGUAC